Molecule: ribosomal RNA, 521 nt
Filed under: uncultured bacterium
Lineage: Bacteria
Description: bacterial SSU rRNA
Rfam family: Bacterial small subunit ribosomal RNA
Source: RNAcentral
GACGAACGCUGGCGGCGUGCCUAAUACAUGCAAGUCGAGCGGACCAAAGGGAGCUUGCUCCUGGAGGUUAGCGGCGAACGGGUGAGUAACACGUGGGCAACCUGCCUGUAAGACUGGGAUAACAUCGAGAAAUCGGUGCUAAAUACCGGAUAAUAAAAAGAACUGCAUGGUUCUUUUUUGAAAGGUGGUUUCGGCUAUCACUUACAGAUGGGCCCGCGGCGCAUUAGCUAGUUGGUGGGGUAACGGCUCACCAAGGCGACGAUGCGUAGCCGACCUGAGAGGGUGAUCGGCCACACUGGGACUGAGACACGGCCCAGACUCCUACGGGAGGCAGCAGUGGGGAAUCUUCCGCAAUGGACGAAAGUCUGACGGAGCAACGCCGCGUGAGUGAUGAAGGUUUUCGGAUCGUAAAACUCUGUUGUUAGGGAAGAACAAGUGCCGUUCGAAAGGGCGGCACCUUGACGGUACCUAACGAGAAAGCCACGGCUAACUACGUGCCAGCAGCCGCGGUAAAGUACAGU